Molecule: ribosomal RNA, 1159 nt
Filed under: Colaranea viriditas
Lineage: Eukaryota; Metazoa; Arthropoda; Arachnida; Araneae; Araneidae
Description: SSU rRNA
Rfam family: Eukaryotic small subunit ribosomal RNA
Source: RNAcentral
AAAAGCUCGUAGUUGGAUCUCAGCUCCGGCCGGACGGUCCGCCUACCGGCGGUUACUGUUCGUCGCCGAGCGUUCAGACAGUUGUGAUCGUUGAUCUUCACCGGUUGACAUUUUCAAUUGUCAAGUUUACUUUGAAAAAAUUAGAGUGCUCAAAGCAGGCGCGACGCCUGAAUAAUUGUGCAUGGAAUAAUGGAAUAGGACCUCGGUUCUAUUUUGUUGGUUUUCGGAACACGAGGUAAUGAUUAAGAGGGACAGACGGGGGCAUUCGUAUUGCGACGCUAGAGGUGAAAUUCUUGGACCGUCGCAAGACGAACUACUGCGAAAGCAUUUGCCAAGAAUGUUUCCAUUAAUCAAGAACGAAAGUUAGAGGUUCGAAGGCGAUCAGAUACCGCCCUAGUUCUAACCAUAAACGAUGCCAGCCAGCGAUCCGGCUGUGUUCCUCAAAUGACACGCCGGGCAGCUUCCGGGAAACCAAAGCUUUUGGGUUCCGGGGGAAGUAUGGUUGCAAAGCUGAAACUUAAAGGAAUUGACGGAAGGGCACCACCAGAAAUGGAGCCUGCGGCUUAAUUUGACUCAACACGGGAAAACUUACCCGGCCCGGACACAGGAAGGAUUGACAGAUUAAGAGCUCUUUCUUGAUUCUGUGGGUGGUGGUGCAUGGCCGUUCUUAGUUGGUGGGGCGACUUGUCUGGUUAAUUCCGAUAACGAACGAGACUCUAGCCUACUAAAUAGACGUUCCCAUCCUCUUGAGUGGGACGUUCUUCUUAGAGGGACAAGCGGCGUUUAGCCGCACGAGACAGAGCAAUAACAGGUCUGGGAUGCCCUUAGAUGUCCGGGGCCGCACGCGCGCUACAUUGAAGGAAUCAGCGUGUGCUUUCCCUGUCCGAAAGGACUGGGUAACCCGUUGAACCUCCUUCGUGCUGGGGAUUGGAAACUGUAAUUGAUUCCAUGAACGAGGAAUUCCCAGUAAGCACGAGUCAUCAGCUCGUGUUGAUUACGUCCCUGCCCUUUGUCCACACCGCCCGUCGCUACUACCGAUUGAAUGAUUUAGUGAGGUCUUCGGACUGGCGCUCGGAUUGGCCUUCGCGGUCGAGCCGUUGUGCCGGAAAGAUGACCAAACUUGAUCAUUUAGAGGAAGUAAAAGUCGUAACAAGGUUUU